Molecule: long non-coding RNA, 624 nt
Filed under: Haliotis rubra (blacklip abalone)
Lineage: Eukaryota; Metazoa; Mollusca; Gastropoda; Lepetellida; Haliotidae
Description: uncharacterized LOC124285252
Source: RNAcentral
GUGUGGCAGGGACAUACUUUGUAUGUCUGAGUGUUAGGAUUAGUUUGCGCCAGUUAGCUUUAAAGUAUUGUAAAUAAUCAUUAAUUCUCUGUCUUUAUUUCAGCAUCCAGUAGGCGCUGAUAUAUGCAAUGUAAAUAUGUAUUUUAAUAUAUUGCUUUGUUUCAACUCACUACAGUGACUGAAAUGAAAUAGUUAACAAUUCAUGUAUUUUUAAUAAGUUUCUUGAUUUCAGCUCAUAUCAGCGCUGAAACAAUUCAUAUAAUUAAUCGCUUAGUUUUAGUAACACAACCAAUAGUGUCUACCCAACCGUGACAACACGUUACGAUUGGUCCAUUCAAACCUGCAUGCUUUUUCUAUGCCUGAACACCUCGCACCCUGACACAACUGACAAAACUUGUGUGAGAGACAGACAAGCAUAGGCGUCAACUUAAUUUUCAUCAGCACACAUUAUUCCAUCGUCUGCUAUGGCGGCCAGGCAUAAACACGGGCCCCUGUGCCAUACAUAGGGGUUUAUCGGUAUGUUGAAAUCUACAUCCACUUGGAAUAAACAGAACUUACAACCCUGCAUUCACUUUGCGUGUCGUCAUUGUGACCCUGCUACAAAAUGGAGCCCCCAGUGAUUUG